Molecule: ribosomal RNA, 485 nt
Filed under: uncultured bacterium
Lineage: Bacteria
Description: bacterial SSU rRNA
Rfam family: Bacterial small subunit ribosomal RNA
Source: RNAcentral
AUUGAACGCUGGCGGCGUGCUUAACACAUGCAAGUCGAUCGGUAACAGGUGUAGCAAUACAUGCUGACGAGAGGCGGACGGGUGAGUAAUGCUUGGGAAUCUGCCUAUUAGUGGGGGACAACCCGGGGAAACUCGGGCUAAUACCGCAUACGCUCUACGGAGGAAAGCCGGGGACCGCAAGGCCUGGCGCUAAUAGAUGAGCCCAAGUCGGAUUAGCUAGUUGGUAGGGAACGGCCUACCAAGGCGACAAUCCGUAGCUGGUCUGAGAGGACGACCAGCCACACCGGGACUGAGACACGGUCCGGACUCCUACGGGAGGCAGCAGUGGGGAAUAUUGGACAAUGGGGGCAACCCUGAUCCAGCGACGCCGCGUGGGUGAAGAAGGCCUGCGGGUUGUAAAGCCCUUUCGGUGGGGAAGAAAAGUCUCGACCUAAUACGUCGGGACCUUGACGUAACCCACUAAAGAAGCACCGGCUAACUCUGUG